UACGGAGGGUGCAAGCGUUAUCCGGAUUCACUGGGUUUAAAGGGGGCGUAGGUGGCGAGGUAAGUUUGAUGUGAAAUCUCCGGGCUUAACCCGGAAACUGCAUUGAAUACUAUCUUGCUCGAGGUUUGGAAGGGGGACUGGAAUUCUCGGUGUAGCAGUGAAAUGCGUAGAUAUCGAGAGGAACACCAGUGGCGAAGGCGAGUCCCUGGACAACACCUGACACUGAGGCACGAAAGCUAGGGGAGCAAACAGG
This 253-nucleotide ribosomal RNA is filed under the name uncultured bacterium. RNAcentral's name for it is "partial 16S ribosomal RNA". It matches the Rfam family "Bacterial small subunit ribosomal RNA", at positions 524 to 776 of the family's 1533-position model. The record is from RNAcentral.